Drosophila melanogaster (fruit fly) is the source of this 499-nucleotide non-coding RNA. NCBI's taxonomy places the organism in Eukaryota, Metazoa, Arthropoda, Insecta, Diptera, Drosophilidae. The record is from Ensembl.
AGCGAUUGUUCAGUCAGUCUCGGCUGGCGCCUCCUGCUCGAACAUAAAUUUAAUUGAAAGACUGGGAUCGAGGCUGGAACUUCGACUGGAACUGGGUUUGGGCCCGAAUGCCGAAGACUGGGCCAAAACCAAAGAGCCAAAGAUGCCAGCCGGAGGUGGAGGCGUCAAUUGGCAAAUUGGUUUCCAUGUCAGCCAGCAGGAAAAGUUAAUUUUCUCGCCGCCAUAAAUAACACCCUGAUCGACUGGAACUACGGCACGAUCGACGGCAUCAGAGGAUCUCCAUCUGCCGAUCGAGAAUUGGAAUAGCAAUGCGAAUCUCCUCUGGCAGGUGAGCAUGGGUGCUGUCCGUUUCGAUUCCAAAUGCAAUUGCCUCGCAGGCCAGAAGCCACGUUUUUUAAUGCUUUUUUAAUUGGAAAUGCACAGCAGCACGCUGAUGACGCCCCAAACAGCAAGUUUGCCAUUACGUAAUUGCAAUUUAAUGAUCGAGCCUGCGAAAAGU